Long non-coding RNA from Lepisosteus oculatus (spotted gar), 961 nucleotides. RefSeq lists it as uncharacterized. The record is from RefSeq and is a predicted model, not a curated record. NCBI's taxonomy places the organism in Eukaryota, Metazoa, Chordata, Actinopteri, Semionotiformes, Lepisosteidae.
UUUUUUUUUCUUCCCUGAGUUCUCUCUGUUCCCCUACCAACCCCACAAUCAGGAGCCCAUGGAAAUUGGACACUCUCUCCUCACCCCUCAGGAACGUGAAAAUGCUAUCUCUACUGCAGUAAAACCGGACAUCUUCAUCUAAUCUGUCCUUACUGGUGCCUGAACCUGCAGGUGCCGCUGGAAAUGUUUUAGAUGCCCAUGUAGCUCGCUCUUGGAACAUCACAUUGCUACCGGCCCAUUCUCCUCUCCGUGUUCAGACUCUGGAUGGAUCCCCUCUGUUUCCAGGAUUGGUUAGAUGGCAAACCUUUCCCUUCUUCAGAUGGGUGCUGUUCACACUGAACAUGUACAAGUCUACCUCCUAGAGACCCCUCUCCAUGCUUUGGUCCGAGGUUUCCCUAGGCUCAGGAAAGACAACCCUCAUAUUUCCUGCCCCCCCUGUGGAAUACUGGCUUGGAGUCCACUGUCCAAUACCCCUUGUGACCCCUCCUCUGGUAUUUAUGAUCCUGGCCGCUGUUCAUUGGGACAUCAAGCAUACAAUGAGACUUGCCCAGCAUAGCCAACCUAUUCCUCCUCAGUGGUCCUCAGAUAAUCUUUUUGUGACAAGCUCAGUAAGGUCCUCAGUCCUGAAAUGGGGACACGGUUUUCAUUUUGCAGCUCAUCCAGGAAUAAAAAAAAAAACUCAAAAAUCGAUUUCUAGGGAUUUUUGGGCUACCUUGUAGAAGGAUGUCAGAGACUGUGUGCGUGCUUGUACCAUUUGUGCACAGAUAAAAACCUCCUGCUUUAAGACCCCUGGAGACCAUCAACCCUUGCCCACUCCCAGUCAUCCCUGGACACAUCUCUCAGUGGACUUUAUUACUGAUCUCCCGGUUAGCCAGGGUUGUAACACUGUGUUAGUCAGUGUGGAUAGAUUUGUUACACUUUGUAAAACAUAAAGCAAGCAAAAAACAGAGUACAAAUAACA